This 279-nucleotide ribosomal RNA is filed under the name uncultured bacterium. RNAcentral's name for it is "partial 16S ribosomal RNA". It matches the Rfam family "Bacterial small subunit ribosomal RNA", at positions 506 to 784 of the family's 1533-position model. The record is from RNAcentral.
UGCCAGCCGCCGCGGUAAUACGGGAGUGGCAAGCGUUAUCCGGAAUUAUUGGGCGUAAAGGGCGCGUAGGCGGUCUUUUAAGUUAGGCGUGAAAGCCCCGGGCUCAACCCGGGAACUGCGCUUAAGACUGGGAGACUAGAAAACGGAAGAGGGUAGUGGAAUUCCCAGUGUAGAGGUGAAAUUCGUAGAUAUUGGGAAGGACACCAGUGGCGAAAGCGGCUACCUGGCUCAAAACUGACGCUGAGGGACGAAAGUAUGGGUAUCAAAUGGGAUUAGAUA